RNAcentral lists this ribosomal RNA (255 nucleotides) under uncultured bacterium. RNAcentral describes it as "partial 16S ribosomal RNA". It matches the Rfam family "Bacterial small subunit ribosomal RNA", at positions 524 to 777 of the family's 1533-position model. The record is from RNAcentral.
GACAGAGGUGCCAAGCGUUAGGCGGAAUCACUGGGCUUAAAGCGUGUGUAGGCGGGUGCCUAAGUACCUUGUGAAAUCCCCCGGCUCAACCGGGGAACGGCUGGGUAUACUGGGUGCCUUGGGUCAUCUAGGGGCUGCCGGAACAAAUGGUGGAGCGGUGAAAUGCGUAGAUAUCAUUUGGAACGCCAACGGCGAAAGCAGGCAGCUGGGGGAUGCACCGACGCUGAGACACGAAAGCCAGGGGAGCGAACGGGG